GCGAACGUUUUUACCUGGUUAAAAGUUUGCAUUGCGUCUCCGUGGCUUCAGCAAACACAUCAAUUCAUCAAACGAUAAGACUUUAUGAACCUGUGGGAAAACGAAAGUGACGGCUACGAUAACGAUAUUGUCGAUUUUUGUACUCGACACCUAAAUGUUUCCCACAUUGAGUUCCAACACCGAAUGGAAAGGAUUAAUUGUAAUAACAAUAACUGUGCGUUCAAUAGUCUGUUCUCUGCAGUUGAAUAUAUUAUCAGUCCAAAUUUAUUAUGAUCACACUUGGUAUCAAGAUGAACUACAGUUCAACUGAUCACCAAAAUAUUAAACCUUUCACUUAUUAAAAAGAUUGGCUUGCAGCAUGAAGGUUAAAUAACUUGGAUAAGCACUCAAGGACAAUAAAAUUAAGCGAUCGAUUUUCGGCAUUUUUCCGUCACCAUACCGACCUAUUGUGCCAUAUCUGUGUAAACCUUCUAAGCUAUGGGAUUAUUUACCGGCAAUUGAAAAGUCUAUUGUAGUCUUAUCUUAUCACAACUACCUCUGAUAGCCGGACAGUCAUGUGCUCGAGUUCAUCCAAACUUUGAUUGGUUACAAUGCAAUCAGUCUGUACAGCCGCCACUUUCAGUUUCCAAACGAGAAAAUUCAAAUUCGACAACGCCAGGAGCUUUGGACGUUACGCAGGUUACGUUCUCAAUACAAUCUCUAUCAGGAAAUCAUUGUCCGGUUGAAUGCGAAUCGAAAAUAUGGUGCACAAUAGCGCGCUGAAAGCAAAAGUGGCUGCUUAGUGAAGGGUAUCAAGUUUGGAUUUCUACUUGUUUAGAAAGAAUUUAAAAAUACUUCUCAUUUUUCAUCUCAAUAUGGAUUUUGUAAUGAUGAUUAUUGCAGAAAAACAAAGGAAUCACUCUGGAAUAUGGAAGAAAGGACCAUGGAAUAAAUCAACAAAGGACUAUAAGGGCGAAUAUCGAAUAUCGUUAUAUUAUAAUCUUCGUUGACGUUGACACCUAGUGGUGUGAUAAUGCCUUUCUCUUUAAUAGAAACAGUCUCAUUAAAAACCUGUUUUAAUUCACCUAGUGGUGUAAUGAUGCCUUUCUCAUUUCAAACAUACUAUCAUAUAUAAUACUGUGGUAUUCUUCCAAACAGAAUUCUUCGAUUCUUGAAAGAUUAACCGGAAUAGGUUUAGUUGAUCAUUUGCAGAUGUCGGAUACGGGUGAAAUUCUGGAAUCCCGUACAAGACCACAGGAUCCAAAAUCCAUUAAAUCCAAAGUUUGUGAAAAUUGGUCAAACCAUCAUCACUGAGAAAAGUAUUAGAGAAAAUAUGACCACUAUGUAUUUCCUGUGCCAGGAUAGCCAAAAUCAGUUUUUUUGGCCGUCUACUAACAAUGACUAUCGAAUGGAGAGUAUUUUAAGAGCCACUAGCUUUGGCAGAUUGAUGGCUAUCCCAUCCGUGCCUUUUGAAAAAUGAAGAAGUUACAACUAAAACAGUUAACGGGUGCAUGCAAAUGAUCAAGUUCUUCUCGUUGUAAUUCGGAAACCGUUCAUCGUACAAAAAUGGCGUCCAGGAAGAAGUUGUAGGGAAUCAAUAGGGCACUCUGAAAAAAGAAAUGAUUUUUUUCUCAAUAAUUUCAA
Molecule: long non-coding RNA, 1623 nt
Organism: Malaya genurostris
Lineage: Eukaryota; Metazoa; Arthropoda; Insecta; Diptera; Culicidae
Exons: 3
Source: RefSeq, a predicted model, not a curated record